Molecule: ribosomal RNA, 2637 nt
Filed under: Triticum aestivum (bread wheat)
Lineage: Eukaryota; Viridiplantae; Streptophyta; Magnoliopsida; Poales; Poaceae
Description: partial small subunit ribosomal RNA
Source: RNAcentral
AUGGCCUCGUCUCUCCAUCAUAUGGGUGUGCCACACCAAAACAUCAGAGAUAAAGAUGUACCAGGAUGUUCAGUUUUUAACCUCUUGGGUUCGUAUCAUUGUCGGAAAUAUGUUCCUUUCAUGUUUAAAAUCGCUUCUGCUGCUUGUAUGCGCACAAGAGAAAGUGUGGUGUGCGCGGCGGAGAAGGCACCCAACAUUACCAGCGAGUCUGUCAACCUGCGCCGGUGCUCACUUGAGGCCUCCCACCCUGCCCCUCCGGUGGCCUCUUCUUCUUCGACCGAACUGAACCAUGCUGCUACUUGCCAAGCACUAGGUGAUGAUGAUCCACUGGGUAAUAAUCACUCUACGUCUGGCCGCGUCCCUCCUAUUGUUGAAAAUGACGAUGAUCUUGAUUUUAUGAACUGGGAUGGCGAUGCUGAUGCUGGUUGUAGAGAGUCAAGCUCUGAUUAUUCUGGUUGUGAGGCUUACGACUUGUGGAGGCGUUGGAUAAUCGGGUUUGAGAGGCUGACUGACACUCAGCCAGAGCUAUACGUCCACAUUGUCCCUGACAAGGCCACAACCAAACUAACGUUUACCGAAAGCAGUAUUGGUAUCCCUCACUGUAGAGGAAGCUCUGUCCAACACUGGAGGCGGUUCAAAGACGUCAGCAUCUGCAGGCAUGCCAAGCUAUCCCUCAUGGCUGAUCCUGUCGGGUUUCCCUAUUUUCCUGUCGGUUUUGGGCUCACAGAGAUUUUUCAGUUUCUGUAUGAAGGCACCGGGGGAGAGAAGUGCCUUCGCGAGCGUCAACCGGAGGAGCCUGCAGGGUUCUCUAUAAAGGUGAUCCUGGACGGCGAGGGGUGCAAGGCGUUGUGCGCUGAGUUCUCCAAGGUCAUGCAACAGAAAAUGGAACAAGAGAAGCAGGAGAAGCUCGCACACAAGUUCUUCUCUUCUUGUGAUACCGUGUACAACAAAUUAGCACCCAUAUUUACAUGCCCAAUAGACAUAUUGCGCCGCCGCCCCUCCCCUCCCGGCCUUCUACCGCGGCAGCGGCCUGGGCGAGCCGCCGCCCCUCCCCUCCCGGCCUUCUACCGCGGCAGCGGCCUGGGAGCGAUGCCGCCCCUCCCCUCCCUGCUUUCUCCCGCGGCGGCGGCCUGGGAGCGACGCCGCCCUUCCCCUCCCGGCCUUCUUCCGCGGCAGCGGCCAGCAGCGACGCCGCCCCUCCCCUCCCGGCCUUCUUCUGCGGCGGCGGCCAGGCAGCGACGCCGCCCGUCGCCUCUCGGCCUUCUUCCGCGGCAGGCACCGAGCAACACCAGCCUAUCGGCCUUCUUCCACGGCAGCAGCUCGGUAGCGCCGCCACCGAACUCCUCCGGGCCUGCAAUUAGCUGUACUUCAUCAGAUGUGGAUUGGUGCUGCCUCGACAUCAAACCAAUUCGAGCAAGGAGGAGUGUGCGCAAGGUUGCUUCAUCCACGGUAGCUUCUUGGAAUAAGUCUGCAUCGACCUUCAGAGCAAAUCCUCCUUCCCCGUUCACCUUGAGCAACGUCCAGACCGCCCAUGAACUUCUGAAGGGCAAGUGGACUGCACGGGCAAACGUGAAAGUUGUGCAGGCGGACGAGAAGGGAACUUCCUCCUGUAAACGCAAGGAAUCACUGCAUCACGAGGAGAUGACGUUCAGCAGAUACAAAAUGCCGCGCAUAAUUGACAGCACUGAGAACAACAACUUUCAGAAGAGUGGAUAUUCUUCUGAAAGAGAUACUGGCUGGGUUACCCCUGAGAUUCCUCGUGGAUUCUUCACGACGACAAACAGGGUGCAGUACUCUCCACAAGAAGAUUUUUCACAUGAUGAAGAUGUAGUUGAAGAUGAUGAUGAUGUCACAUUCGUCUGGGAAGGCACUCACCAACGCGAUGAUGAAGACGAUGACGAUGAAGAUGAGCCGAUAACAGUUCUCAACCCAGAGUAUAAGCACCAGUUCACUAUGUUUGGACAGCAUGUCCGAACAGACAAUGAUGAUGCAGGUGAACACGAUGUUGCAGCAGAUGAUGAUUAUGUCUAUGAUGAUGUGCCACUGCUCCAAAAUUUUCAAACCAAUCCACCGAGACAUCGUCACAACACUGGAUUACCACCACGUCCACCUGCCGCAUCCCAAAACAGAGCUCAGCGUCCACCUGCUGCACCGAAAAACAGAGCUCCAACCAGACCUGCUGCAUCAACUUCGACGCUGCGGCCACCAACGGUGCAUCGGUCAAAAGUAAACAGCAGGUACAAAUCCUCCUCACUGUUACCGCCGCGAGAUCCUCAAUUACACACAUCUGCUAUAACCCCGCCAUGUCCAAUACAACCCGGCGAGCUGCAAACACCAUCAGGCGAACGACUGUACACACAUGAUAAAAACAUGCCGCUGAACCUCGUACCUGCUGCUGGAAUGAAAUUCACCACGUACGACAAGGCAUGGGACUUUUACAACAAUUAUGCAAGAUGUGCAGGGUUUGGUAUACGCAAGAGGGCAAAACACAGGACAAAUGCCUACAUUGUCUGCUCAAGAGAAGGGGUCCACAAGCAGGCUGUGUCAGAUUAUCACCGGGUACGUCAGAAGACAUCAAAAAGGAUUGGCUGCAAUGCAAAGAUUAGAGUCAAAAAAGGAAGGAUGGCAAAUUUGUGA